UACGUAGGGGGCAAGCGUUGUUCGGAAUGACUGGGCGUAAAGGGUGCGUAGGCGGUGUAGCAAGUUAGAAGUGAAAUACCUAGAGCUUAACUCAGGUGCUGCUUCUAAAACUGCUAUACUUGAGUGCAGUAGAGGAAAGUGGAAUUCCUAGUGUAGCGGUGGAAUGCGUAGAUAUUAGGAAGAACACCAGUGGCGAAGGCGGCUUUCUGGACUGAAACUGACGCUGAGGCACGAAAGCGUGGGGAGCGAACAGG
RNAcentral lists this ribosomal RNA (254 nucleotides) under uncultured bacterium. Its description in RNAcentral is "partial 16S ribosomal RNA". It matches the Rfam family "Bacterial small subunit ribosomal RNA", at positions 524 to 776 of the family's 1533-position model. The record is from RNAcentral.